CCAUAGCCCAGCUGGAUAGAGCGUUUGGCUACGAACCAAAAGGUCGGGGGUUCGAAUCCCUCUGGG
This 66-nucleotide transfer RNA is filed under the name bovine gut metagenome. It matches the Rfam family "tRNA", at positions 5 to 66 of the family's 71-position model. From Rfam's summary of the family: Transfer RNA (tRNA) molecules are approximately 80 nucleotides in length. Their secondary structure includes four short double-helical elements and three loops (D, anti-codon, and T loops). Further hydrogen bonds mediate the characteristic L-shaped molecular structure. tRNAs have two regions of fundamental functional importance: the anti-codon, which is responsible for specific mRNA codon recognition, and the 3' end, to which the tRNAs corresponding amino acid is attached (by aminoacyl-tRNA synthetases). tRNAs cope with the degeneracy of the genetic code in two manners: having more than one tRNA (with a specific anti-codon) for a particular amino acid; and 'wobble' base-pairing, i.e. permitting non-standard base-pairing at the 3rd anti-codon position. The record is from RNAcentral.